GACGAACGCUGGCGGCGUGCUUAACACAUGCAAGUCGAGCGGUAAGGCCCUUUCGGGGGUACACGAGCGGCGAACGGGUGAGUAACACGUGGGUGACCUGCCCUCAGCUCUGGGAUAAGCCUGGGAAACCGGGUCUAAUACCGGAUAUGACUCCAUGACGCAUGUUGUGGGGUGAAAGCCUUGUGCGGCUGAGGAUGGGCCCGCGGCCUAUCAGCUUGUUGGUGGGGUGAGGCCUACCAAGGCGACGACGGGUAGCCGGCCUGAGAGGGCGACCGGCCACACUGGGACUGAGACACGGCCCAGACUCCUACGGGAGCAGCAGUGGGGAAUCUUGCGCAAUGGGCGAAAGCCUGACGCAGCGACGCCGCGUGAGGGAUGACGGCCU
RNAcentral lists this ribosomal RNA (385 nucleotides) under uncultured bacterium. RNAcentral describes it as "bacterial SSU rRNA". It matches the Rfam family "Bacterial small subunit ribosomal RNA", at positions 28 to 417 of the family's 1533-position model. The record is from RNAcentral.